UAGAUAGGUCAGGUAACACACUGCCAAUAAAUAAUGAGGACCGCAGCUAAAACUGAGAUUGCGUCGUACAAAUUAAGUUACCUUCUGGAAAAAGAUAGGAUGUCGUCACUAAAAAUUGCUAUCCGGAAUCUAUGACAGAUAACAAAACAAAGUUUCUCUAGAUCACCAAAGCUUCUAGCACUAGCUCUUAUUAUCUUUUGGGAUGUCGAGACCCGUGAAAGCUGGGCUGUCAACUCCAACUCCCAUCGCGUUCAGACCAUUGUCAACAUACACAGUGGCGCCAGUAAUUGCUGAAGCCAAAGGAGAUGCCAGAAAUGCAGCAGUGUUCCCAACCUCCUCAGCAUACAACUCCUUUUGCAAAGGAGCAUUCUCCAGUGAGUAAUUUAUCAUCAUGUCGAUAAAGCCAAUAGCUUUUGCUGCACGACUUCCCAGUGGACCUGCAGAUAUAGUGUUGACUCUGACUUUGUGCUUUCUUCCAGCUUCAAAUGCCAGGACUUUUGUGUCACUCUCCAAAGCAGCUUUUGCUGAACUCAUACCACCUCCAUAUCCAGGGAUAAUCCUUUCAGAAGCAAUGUACGUUAGAGAGAUUGUGGCACCGCCUGGAUUCAUUAUGGGAAGAAAGUGCUUUAGUAGAGAUAUGAAGGAAUAACUGGAGGCAGAUAUAGCUGCAAGGUAUCCUUUUCUUGAUGUCUCCGAUAGAGGUUUGCUAACCUCUGGACCAUUUGCAAGUGAAUGUACAAGGAUGUCAAUAGUGCCAAAA
RNAcentral lists this unclassified non-coding RNA (760 nucleotides) under Hevea brasiliensis (rubber tree). Lineage: Eukaryota; Viridiplantae; Streptophyta; Magnoliopsida; Malpighiales; Euphorbiaceae. The record is from RNAcentral.